GCAGCGUCAAGUCCCCACUGCUGCAUGCAGUCGGCAUCUCUUCGUCUGGAGGAGGAAUGACUUCCACAUUGUAGCUCACCUUCUUGGACUGGAGGAUGCUGUAGCUGUUGUCAAAACACAGCACAUCUGCAAGAGAUAAGUGGAGCGCAGGGGGAGCUGGUGCCUAUCUCCAGGUGUCUAUGGGCAGGAGGUGGGAUACACCUUGGACAGGUCACCAGUCCAUCAUAGGGCAACAUAGACACACAGGACAAAAACUAUGGGUAUUAGAGGCUUUUCCGCAUAUGUCAGCCUUUGUUUCACGCAGUACCCACCCGGAAUGUUUGUUUCAAUCUAAUAGCCCUGUCACACUAAUGCCUAUCUGCCUUUUAUUUCCAUGGUGUAAAUGGAUACUGUAUAAUGCUAUAGGAAAAUAUAAUAUUACUAUGCAUUUGUCACUGUAGCAUGCACAAUUUGAUCAUCCGCAAAACCAGGUUGCCAUGGAUGUUUUGGACGUGUGAAAACCUCUGCCAUAUUAGAGCCACAGCUCUCAAAUACCAUGGUUAAAGCACAUGUGGACCACACCUAUAGAAUGGACACAACUGUGAAUUAGAUAUUGCAGUAAUGACUCAAUAAUAAGAUUACUUAAUCUCACACUAGACUAUUUAGACGCUUCACUAACUUCGAGAUGCUGGAUGCCUGCAACUAGUGAAACUGACAUGAUUACUUUCAUCUGAAUAAUUCAGCUAUUAAUUGUCUGACCACUUGGUGGCACUCAGAGCACUGAACUUUCAUCCCCAGAUGGUCAGUUGAUCUUUUAAUAUGUCUUGGAAAAAGUAACAUACCCAGUCAUAAUACAGCAGAACACUAUAAGGUCCACACCAUUGGUGUCUGUAUACAUUCACUAUUCAAAACAGGAACACCGCAAAACAGAAUGAAAGAUGUGCGGGGACUUGGUUUUCAAAACGUCAGCAUACAUGGGAAGAUAGGAACCAGUGUGACAGGACCCUUAGUCUUAUCUUAAAAAAAACAAAGAGACAGUUUCAGAGGAGUUUAUCAAACUCUACAUGUUUAGGUUUGUUAUGGUAGAAUAAAGAAGGCUUAUCCUUGGCAUGAUGCUGAAAGAGCUGGCACAUACAUAGCAUCUACUGAUUUUUAUAGUGAGUAGCGACACCCCUUUGCUGUUGCUUUCAAACAGUAUGUUGUGUGUGGUGAAAAGUGGAAAAAAGAAAUGUGCCACAAUGUCUCUGAUUUUAAAGUGAUUGUUAAAGGUACCAAUAAUUGUACCACCGGUGAAUUUAUUCAAAACAAUUGUUCAUUAGCAUUGGAUUUCCACUGUAAAUAAAUGGGCUUAAAUGGUAUUUCCAAAA
Girardinichthys multiradiatus is the source of this 1346-nucleotide long non-coding RNA. RefSeq lists it as uncharacterized. The record is from RefSeq and is a predicted model, not a curated record. The transcript is spliced from 2 exons. Lineage: Eukaryota; Metazoa; Chordata; Actinopteri; Cyprinodontiformes; Goodeidae.